Molecule: long non-coding RNA, 1845 nt
Organism: Oryzias melastigma (Indian medaka)
Lineage: Eukaryota; Metazoa; Chordata; Actinopteri; Beloniformes; Adrianichthyidae
Exons: 3
Source: RefSeq, a predicted model, not a curated record
CUCCGCCCUCCUUCAGGUGAGGCUAAUCUGGGUCCUGAUCAGCAGAACCUGCUGAGCUUUUCCAAACUGAACUCUGAAGUUUGAUGUUUCUCAGAGCGGUUCUUCUGCAGACGUUCAGGAGAAUCUUGUGAUGGUUGAAACUGACUAAAACCAGCACACACUACCAAAAGACGCCACCAGAGAGCGGCAGAGAGAACAGCCUUCAAGGAAGCAGAAUUACCAUGGAGGCGAUGACGGAGGCGGGGAAGAAUCCCAUGGUCAGAUAAAAGGCCAGCUCCACCAGUUUGUACCUGCAGACAGACAUGCUCAGCGAAGCUCUUCCAGAUGAACCCAAACUCUGCCGCCACUCACUUCUCAUGAUAGUUGAAGACGUAGAUGGUUCCGGCGGCGGCCAUGAGCCACACAAACCAGCGCAUGUGGGCCGCCAGCGGGCCCAGCUCCCGCAGGUUCAACCUGAGCGAGGACAGAAGGUCACGACCGGGAAACGUUCAGACCUAACGCCGUCCUCCGACACUCACCAGGGGCUGUAGGAGGCGGCGAUGAAGAAGUAGAUGACGACCCGGUCGCACAUGUGGAAGCACUGCUCAACGGACCUGCGGCACAAACAGACCGUCAGCUGCUGCAGGAGGAGGAGGGCUCUGCAGGGGGCGCUGUCCUCCUGACCUCAUGUGACUCUUCUUCCAGGUGAUGAUGUGGAACACGGUGGACACCAGGAAGAGGGCGCACAGGCCCAGGCCGUACACCCACGCCGUGAUGCGCUCCCAGCUGUUGUCGGACAGGCGGUGCAGCAGCGUCAUGCCCACGAAGGCCGGCACGACGAGGAGCUGCGGGCAGAAGGAGGCGCAUUUCAGACGGUUCUGACAACCGGAUCUCCAGCUACGACUGAUCAAACACGACAGCAGAAAGCUAAAAAUCAGCUGUGGGCUGUUGCCAUGACACCAGGAGAAGAAUCCAGAACCAAGUUAAAUCCUGCAGGAUUCAGGGGGAGGAGCCUGAACAGAGACAUCUAGAUCCAGUAGAACCAGAACCAAACGGUAAAAUACUUCCAAACAUGAACACAACGUCGGUACACAAAAAUCAUGACUCAGCUCUGGUGUUGACGUGUCUUCACAUGUUUGUGUGGCGUCUCCGCCCAACCUUCGCCUUCUGAAGGUCGCAGUUCUGCUACCAGACCUGUUCUCCACUGACAUGUUACAAGGUGGAAACACCUGAACCCUCGUCACCUGGAUCAGGAUCUUUGAUUGUUGGAGCUCAAAUAUACACAGAUUGGUGGAUUUUAGUCCCGCCCAGUCACCAUUAUCAUUGGAUCGUUGUUGAAGUGGGCGGAGUGAACUCCAGUCAAUCUGUCCGUCCCACUUUUUGUCAUCAGGUGACCUCAGAUUACCUGCAUUUGCUGCUUCAGAGGUGAAGGAGACAGUUUCUAGUUUAGAAAUAAAGUAAUUAUUGACGGUAUAUGAGAACUGGACUCGUAUACCGUCAAUAAUUAUGAAGUAAACUCAGGUUCUAAUUUUCCACAAUAUGGAAACCAGAAGUCGUUAGUAAGCAGUGAUUGGUCCAGGUUUCCACUCUCACCAAUCAGGAGUGAGCUUGUUGGAAGGCCACACCCCUAUCACGUAAUCUGUUCUGAAUGUUGGACAUGGGGUGGCCAGCAGGCUCCGCCUACUUUUAUUGAGGAAAAUUAAAGGGUUGUGAUCCGAGCACCGCAGUUUCAGCCCUGUACAGUAGGUGGCAGUAUAGCUUCUGUUUAUUGGAUUACCAUCCAGUAAUAAUCAAAACGAGAGCUGUCUGAAUUUCCCUGGAUUAUAAAGGUUAUUCAGACACCAUACUCACUACUUUUCUUUUAAC